This is a long non-coding RNA of Melanotaenia boesemani (Boeseman's rainbowfish), 607 nucleotides long. RefSeq lists it as uncharacterized. NCBI's taxonomy places the organism in Eukaryota, Metazoa, Chordata, Actinopteri, Atheriniformes, Melanotaeniidae. The transcript has 3 exons. The record is from RefSeq and is a predicted model, not a curated record.
CGGACACACUGAUGGAGAAACAACAGGUGAUCAGAACCAAGACAGUUUGGACUGUAAGGUUUCAGGGGUCAUUGAUCAGUUCAGACCAGAUCAUUGAAUUCUGGCCGCGAAGACCGAUGGUCCAGAAUGAACGUCCAGCUUAUUUUAGAAAGACAGAAACAAACUUUAUGAAUUGUUUAACCAAAACCAUCAAUUCAAAUAUAAAAACCUCCAAUAAGCUGAAAAAUGUUCAAACGUUUCACAUUUAAUCCAGUUUUUACACCAGCGGUAUAACAGACCCCAACACCUCCUCCAACCAGGUAUAACAGACCCCAACACCUCCUCCAACCAGGUAUAACAGACCCCAACACCUCCUCCAACCAGGUAUAACAGACCCCAACACCUCCUCCAACCAGGUGUAACAGACCCCAACACCUCCUCCAACCAGGUGUAACAGACCCCAACACCUUCUCCAACCAGGUGUAACAGACCCCAACACCUUCUCCAACCAGGUGUAACAGACCCCAACACCUCCUCCAACCAGGUGUAACAGACCCCAACACCUCCUUCAACCAGGUAUAACAGACCCCAACACCUUCUCCAACCAGGUAUAACAGACCCCAACACC